UACGUAGGGAGCGAGCGUUAUCCGGAUUUAUUGGGUGUAAAGGGUGCGUAGACGGGAAAUUAAGUUAGUUGUGAAAUCCCUCGGCUUAACUGAGGAACUGCAACUAAAACUGGUUUUCUUGAGUGUCGGAGAGGAAAGAGGAAUUCCUAGUGUAGCGGUGAAAUGCGUAGAUAUUAGGAGGAACACCGGUGGCGAAGGCGUCUUUCUGGACGAUAACUGACGUUGAGGCACGAAAGUGUGGGGAGCAAAC
This 250-nucleotide ribosomal RNA is filed under the name uncultured prokaryote. RNAcentral's name for it is "partial 16S ribosomal RNA". It matches the Rfam family "Bacterial small subunit ribosomal RNA", at positions 524 to 773 of the family's 1533-position model. The record is from RNAcentral.